Molecule: ribosomal RNA, 493 nt
Filed under: Streptomyces sp. 313F08
Lineage: Bacteria; Bacillati; Actinomycetota; Actinomycetes; Kitasatosporales; Streptomycetaceae
Description: bacterial SSU rRNA
Rfam family: Bacterial small subunit ribosomal RNA
Source: RNAcentral
UAGUGGCGAACGGGUGAGUAACACGUGGGCAAUCUGCCCUGCACUCUGGGACAAGCCCUGGAAACGGGGUCUAAUACCGGAUAACACUGUCCCCCUCCUGGGGGACGGUUGAAAGCUCCGGCGGUGCAGGAUGAGCCCGCGGCCUAUCAGCUUGUUGGUGGGGUAAUGGCCUACCAAGGCGACGACGGGUAGCCGGCCUGAGAGGGCGACCGGCCACACUGGGACUGAGACACGGCCCAGACUCCUACGGGAGGCAGCAGUGGGGAAUAUUGCACAAUGGGCGAAAGCCUGAUGCAGCGACGCCGCGUGAGGGAUGACGGCCUUCGGGUUGUAAACCUCUUUCAGCAGGGAAGAAGCGAAAGUGACGGUACCUGCAGAAGAAGCGCCGGCUAACUACGUGCCAGCAGCCGCGGUAAUACGUAGGGCGCAAGCCGUUGUCCGGAAUUAUUGGGCGUAAAGAGCUCGUAGGCGGUCUGUCACGUCNGGGUGUGAA